UAGAGUAUUGGUGAAUUCCACA
RNAcentral lists this non-coding RNA (22 nucleotides) under Arabidopsis thaliana (thale cress). The record is from RNAcentral. Lineage: Eukaryota; Viridiplantae; Streptophyta; Magnoliopsida; Brassicales; Brassicaceae.